This 492-nucleotide ribosomal RNA is filed under the name uncultured bacterium. Its description in RNAcentral is "partial 16S ribosomal RNA". It matches the Rfam family "Bacterial small subunit ribosomal RNA", at positions 29 to 507 of the family's 1533-position model. The record is from RNAcentral.
AGUGAACGCUGGCGGUAGGCCUAACACAUGCAAGUCGAACGGCAGCACAGUAAGAGCUUGCUCUUACGGGUGGCGAGUGGCGGACGGGUGAGGAAUACAUCGGAAUCUACUUUUUCGUGGGGGAUAACGUAGGGAAACUUACGCUAAUACCGCAUACGACCUACGGGUGAAAUCAGGGGAUCUUCGGACCUUGCGCGAUUGAUUGAGCCGAUGUCGGAUUAGCUAGUUGGCAGGGUAAAGGCCCACCAAGGCGACGAUCCGUAGCUGGUCUGAGAGGAUGAUCAGCCACACUGGAACUGAGACACGGUCCAGACUCCUACGGGAGGCAGCAGUGGGGAAUAUUUGACAAUGGGCGAAAGCCUGAUCCAGCCAUACCGCGUGGGUGAAGAAGGCCUUCGGGUUGUAAAGCCCUUUUGUUGGGAAAGAAAAGCAGCAGGUUAAUACCCCGCUGUUUUGACGGUACCCAAAGAAUAAGCACCGGCUAACUUCGUG